This 253-nucleotide ribosomal RNA is filed under the name uncultured bacterium. Its description in RNAcentral is "partial 16S ribosomal RNA". It matches the Rfam family "Bacterial small subunit ribosomal RNA", at positions 524 to 776 of the family's 1533-position model. The record is from RNAcentral.
UACGUAGGGUGCGAGCGUUAAUCGGAAUUACUGGGCGUAAAGCGUGCGCAGGCGGUUCGUUAAGUCAGAUGUGAAAGCCCCGGGCUCAACCUGGGAACUGCAUUUGAAACUGGCGGGCUUGAGUGUGGCAGAGGGGGGUGGAAUUCCGCGUGUAGCAGUGAAAUGCGUAGAGAUGCGGAGGAACACCGAUGGCGAAGGCAGCCCCCUGGGCCAACACUGACGCUCAGGCACGACAGCAUGGGGAGCGAACGGG